Molecule: ribosomal RNA, 441 nt
Filed under: uncultured bacterium
Lineage: Bacteria
Description: partial 16S ribosomal RNA
Rfam family: Bacterial small subunit ribosomal RNA
Source: RNAcentral
CCUACGGGGGGCUGCAGUGGGGGAUAUUGCACAAUGGGGGGAACCCUGAUGCAGCGACGCCGCGUGGGUGAAGGAGUAUUUCGGUAUGUAAAGCCCUAUCGGCAGGGAAGAAAUUGGACGGUACCUGACUAAGAAGCCCCGGCUAACUACGUACCAGCAGCCGCGGUAAUACGUAGGGGGCAAGCGUUAUCCGGAUUCACUGGGUGUAAAGGGAGCGUAGACGGCCAUGCAAGCCAGGGGUGAAAGCCCGGGGCCCAACCCCGGGACUGCCCUUGGAACUGCAUGACUGGAGUGCGGGAGGGGCAGGCGGAAUUCCUGGUGUAGCGGUGAAAUGCGUAGAUAUCAGGAGGAACACCGGCGGCGAAGGCGGCCUGCUGGACCGCGACUGACGUUGAGGCUCGAAAGCGUGGGGAGCGAACAGGAUUAGAUACCCUGGUAGUC